This 855-nucleotide long non-coding RNA is filed under the name Mytilus galloprovincialis (Mediterranean mussel). The record is from RNAcentral. Lineage: Eukaryota; Metazoa; Mollusca; Bivalvia; Mytilida; Mytilidae.
CUAUUUCACGUUAAAAAAUUAUUAGAGGAAUUCCCAUCUUUCCUAUCCCGUCCCCACCACCAAUGGUGAAAAUUGAAAAUGACAAUAAUUAUAAUUUACUUAUUUUUAAAUCUGUUUUUAUAAUAUAAAAAAAGAAGAUGUGAUAUGAUUGCCAAUGAGACAACUCUCCACAAGAGACCAAAAUGACACAGAAAUUAACUACUAGGUAACCGUAAGUCCCUCAACAAUGAGCAAAGCCCAUACCGCAUAGUCAGUAUAAAAGGCCCCAUGAUGACAAUGUAAAACAAUUCAAACGAGAAAACUAUUUUGCUAAGACAAGGUUUCUCGAUAAAUAAGUAUCAAGAUAAUAUGCAAUAAAACAAUAAAACUCAUAAGAGCCAAAAUGGCCCAAAAUUAUACUUAGAAAAAUUAAAAACACAACUCUCUAUCUGUCAGGGACCACCAGGCCUCAGUAAACAAAAAAUAAAUACAGUGUGUUUAUGUUCAUUCAGACACAAAUCUAAUUAAAUUACAGAUAUUGUGUGUCCAAGCUAUGCUUACGCGGAUCUGAAAACGCUCCAUUCUAUUUUCUGUUUAAAGACCAUUGGGAUUCUCGGUUUUGUCGGAUUUAUAUACACCUUCAAAAAUGUGAAGGCCGAAUUUCAUUGGCUGAUGUAAUAUUUACUAGAACAAACUGUAUCAAAGGACUGAAGUACUGAACAUCAGAUGACCGCAAGUUCUCGUGGAUGGUCAGAAGCACUUGUCUUAAAGAAAAUCACAUCUCAAUACCUGAAAGUGAGGUUAACUUACAGAGAUAUAUUUUUUUUUGAGACAAGUUCGUGCUUGGAUGAUGAAUAAACAACAGGGAAUUCAACC